RNAcentral lists this ribosomal RNA (548 nucleotides) under Phialocephala fortinii. RNAcentral describes it as "eukaryotic LSU rRNA". The stretch from base 199 to 352 matches the Rfam family "5.8S ribosomal RNA". Lineage: Eukaryota; Fungi; Ascomycota; Leotiomycetes; Helotiales; Mollisiaceae. The record is from RNAcentral.
GUAGUGACCUGCGGAGGAUCAUUACAAGUGAGGCUACCGAACGUUGGAAACAGCGGUUAGGAGCUUACACCCACCCGUGUUUACAUACUAUUGUUGCUUUGGCGGGCCGUGGCCUCCACUACGGGCUCUGCUCGUGUGUGCCCGCCAGAGGACCAAACUCUGAAUGUUAGUGAUGUCUGAGUACUAUCUAAUAGUUAAAACUUUCAACAACGGAUCUCUUGGUUCUGGCAUCGAUGAAGAACGCAGCGAAAUGCGAUAAGUAAUGUGAAUUGCAGAAUUCAGUGAAUCAUCGAAUCUUUGAACGCACAUUGCGCCCUGUGGUAUUCCGCAGGGCAUGCCUGUUCGAGCGUCAUUUAACCACUCACGCCUAGCGUGGUAUUGGGGCACGCGGUCUCGCGGCCCUCAAAAUUAGUGGCGGCGCCGGUGGGCUCUAAGCGUAGUACAUACUCCCGCUAUAGAGUUCCCCCGGUGGCUCGCCAGAACCCCCAAUUUUUUACAGGUUGACCUCGGAUCAGGUAGGGAUACCCGCUGAACUUAAGCAUAUCAAA